AUCUUGAAUAUUAUUAUAGAUAGAGAUAAACUGUAAACAGCAAUAAUGUUCAGCAAAGUAAGAUCUACAAAUAAGUCAACAUGACCAAAAAUGGUCAGUUGACCACUUUAGAGUUAUUGCCCUUUAUAGUCAAUUUUUAACCAUUUUUCGUAAAUCUUAGUAAUCUUUUAGAAAAAUCUUCUCCUCUGAACCUACUGGACCAAAUUUAACCAAACUUAGCCAUAAUCAUCAUUGGGGUAUCUAGUUAAAAAAUGUGUCCGGUAACUCGGCCAACAAACCAAGAUGGCCGCCAUGGCUAAAAAUAGAACAUGGGGGUAAAAUGCAGUUUUUGGCUUAUAACUCAAAAACCAAAGCAUUAAGAGCAAAUCUGACAGGAAGUAAAAUUGUUGAUCAGGUCACGAUCUAUCUGCCCUGGAAUUUUCAGAUGAAUCGGAUAAUCGGUUGUUAUAGGUUGCUGCCCCUGAAUUGGUAAUUUUGAGGAAAUUUUGCUGUUUUUUUGUUAUUAUCUUGAAUAUUAUUAUAGGUAGAGAUAAACUGUAAACAGCAAUAAUGUACAGCAAAGUAAGAACUAAAAAUAAGUCAGUAUGACCAAAUAGUCAAUUGACCCCCUAAGGAGUUAUUGCCCUUCAUAGUCAAUUUUUAACAAUUUUCUGAAAAUUUGAAGAUAUAUAUUCAAUAACAUUUUCCACAGAAAGUACUGUUA
RNAcentral lists this long non-coding RNA (703 nucleotides) under Mytilus galloprovincialis (Mediterranean mussel). Lineage: Eukaryota; Metazoa; Mollusca; Bivalvia; Mytilida; Mytilidae. The record is from RNAcentral.